RNAcentral lists this non-coding RNA (56 nucleotides) under Hyphomicrobiales bacterium. RNAcentral describes it as "nhaA-I". It matches the Rfam family "nhaA-I RNA". From Rfam's summary of the family: Acidobacteria, Alphaproteobacteria, Betaproteobacteria and Gammaproteobacteria, Verrucomicrobia, cand. division NC10. Lineage: Bacteria; Pseudomonadati; Pseudomonadota; Alphaproteobacteria; Hyphomicrobiales. The record is from RNAcentral.
GGGUGUCAGUCGCAUAGCGCAACUGGCAGGUGCAUGAGUUGGUCGGGCCGCCAGCU